This is a long non-coding RNA of Oncorhynchus masou masou (cherry salmon), 305 nucleotides long. RefSeq lists it as uncharacterized. The record is from RefSeq and is a predicted model, not a curated record. The transcript has 3 exons. NCBI's taxonomy places the organism in Eukaryota, Metazoa, Chordata, Actinopteri, Salmoniformes, Salmonidae.
ACCAGGCAGUUGGAUCUGACGUGAUUGUAAUGCUGCAGGCAGAAUGAACAACUCAGGCCGAGCCAGAGAAGAAGACAACUGUGCCGUAACAAUCAUUUCACCCGUAAGGUGCAGAAAAACUAAAAGCAGAUCUCCCCAACUCCAUGGAGAUCGACGGGAUCUCCAUAGUUAUCCAUCCCUGAACCCCGGUCCAGUAGCAGAUGCCUCUAUAGGUUAACAUUGAGCAUCAUUGCUCACUGAGCACCAACCAACACCGGAUGUCCAUGGACGUUGAACAGUAGUUGAAAUGUGGUUAGUCCACCCUG